This 72-nucleotide transfer RNA is filed under the name Candidatus Pacearchaeota archaeon. RNAcentral describes it as "tRNA-Ala". It matches the Rfam family "tRNA". From Rfam's summary of the family: Transfer RNA (tRNA) molecules are approximately 80 nucleotides in length. The record is from RNAcentral. Lineage: Archaea; Nanobdellati.
GGGGCAGUAGCUCAAUGGGAGAGCAUCUCGUUCGCAACGAGAAGGUUGAGGGUUCGAGUCCCUUCUGCUCCA